This 72-nucleotide transfer RNA is filed under the name Lodderomyces orthopsilosis. RNAcentral describes it as "Candida orthopsilosis tRNA-Asn". It matches the Rfam family "tRNA". Rfam says of the family: Transfer RNA (tRNA) molecules are approximately 80 nucleotides in length. Lineage: Eukaryota; Fungi; Ascomycota; Pichiomycetes; Serinales; Debaryomycetaceae. The record is from RNAcentral. RNAcentral also lists the same sequence under 2 other names.
GUUUUAAUAGCUUAACGGUUAAAGCAGUACACUGUUAAUGUAUUGAUACUAGUUCGAUUCUAGUUUAAAACG